Molecule: small nuclear RNA, 217 nt
Organism: Acanthamoeba castellanii str. Neff
Lineage: Eukaryota; Discosea; Longamoebia; Acanthamoebidae
Rfam family: U2 spliceosomal RNA
About the family: U2 is a small nuclear RNA (snRNA) component of the spliceosome (involved in pre-mRNA splicing). Complementary binding between U2 snRNA (in an area lying towards the 5' end but 3' to hairpin I) and the branchpoint sequence (BPS) of the intron results the bulging out of an unpaired adenosine, on the BPS, which initiates a nucleophilic attack at the intronic 5' splice site, thus starting the first of two transesterification reactions that mediate splicing.
Source: Rfam
GUAUCUUCUCGGCCUUUUGGCUAAGAUCAAGUGUAGUAUCUGUUCUUAUCAGCUUAAUCUCUGGUAGUGAAGCGUUCCUGCUUCACAUCAAGAUUAAACUUAUUUCUCGUGGGGGACCAGCUGGCACUCAUGCCCGCAGCUUGCUGUGGGCAGCCUCUGGUCGCCGAUCGGCUUCGCACUGCACGCACCGCGAAGUUCUUCAAACGGUCGACCCCUU